CACUAUUUUCUCUCACUAAAAGAUUCCUAGAAAAACAUGGGACCUGAGGUAAAUGUACUAACACGACAAAAAAUAAUGAGGUUACCAAACCCUAAAGAUCUCCAAGCUUGCAGCCCAGCUGUUCUGCUUGGUAUGCAAUGUGACCUUCAAGAAUAUUACUGGCUUGGGAUCAUUCAACUCCAUCAGCGAGUAACUUCUUUUCCUCUACAAUUCUAACAAGAACUAAUUGAAAAG
Molecule: unclassified non-coding RNA, 234 nt
Filed under: Hevea brasiliensis (rubber tree)
Lineage: Eukaryota; Viridiplantae; Streptophyta; Magnoliopsida; Malpighiales; Euphorbiaceae
Source: RNAcentral